UUUUACAAUUGCCCUUUUCCCAUUCUACAGUAGGAGAGCAUACCUCUCAUCUGUGCAUCCAUCCUUCCAUCCAUCUAUCCAGAAUUGUACUCUUGUGCAUUUCCUACAGAUGUAAAUGUUACCAAACCAGGUUCAUCUGCCUGAUGGACAGCAAGGUUUGAAGCAGAGAAAGGGUUUAUUCAUGAGGCUGCCAAGCAAGAAGACAGGAGAACAAGUCUCAGAUCAGCUUCCCCAAAGGGAGUACAUGGACCAAAACAUCUGAAUUAGAGGACCUAAAGGAACAGAAAAGGACCAGAAAAAGUCAUGGUCAAGGAAAAGAACCAGAAGAGAAGACCAAAGAGACUCCUGUCCAGGAGGAGACAGCCAGAGGAAAAGACAAUCAGAGACACCAUGAGACAAUGGAAUGGAGGUGGAUGUGGUGCAAAGUGAUGCAGGGAUCACCAGGGAUCAACAGGUAGCACCAGAAGCCAGAAGAGAGACCUGGAUGGAUUCUCCCCUGCAGCAUCCAGAACUGCCCCUGCCCACACCUUGAUUUUGGACUUCUGGCCUCCAC
This is a long non-coding RNA of Phacochoerus africanus (Common warthog), 553 nucleotides long. RefSeq lists it as uncharacterized. The record is from RefSeq and is a predicted model, not a curated record. Lineage: Eukaryota; Metazoa; Chordata; Mammalia; Artiodactyla; Suidae. The transcript is spliced from 3 exons.